CAGGAGAAACUCAGAAAUACGCAGGGGCGACAAACAGACUUUCUACACGCAGCAUGGCUCGCGUAACACAUCGUUCAAUAUUUAUUAAGGCAUUUCCUUAAACAAAUUAUCAAUGCACCAAUUUUGAUUAUUUCAUGAAAAAGCAAUAGCUUCGAUUUGCUCUAAAAAGAAUUGAACCCUAAUAGAAUUUUUUUUUAAACAAAAAUAUUAAAUCUAGAAGAAAAUGUUAAAUAUUUUAGAAAUGGGCAGAAACUUGGAAAUCCGUUAAACCUAAAGAUUUUUGACGCAAAUAUGGAUUGGAAUUUUGGUUCCUUGUCACUCAACUCUGCGUAUCAGAUCAUCGAGAAAUCAAGGUUUCCCGGAACCUUCAUCUUGACGUCGGAUGACAAAAACCGGUUUAUCACGCUUCUUCUGACAACUGAUCCGGCACCGGAAGUGGUUCUAAUCGGGAUUUUCCAGGAAAAUAAUCAGUUUUCUUUGUUCCUGGGCUACGAUAGAGAAAAAAAACAGUUUAGUUCGUUGACUGCAUUGGUGAAUUAUUUUCAUUUUUGGCCAAUCUCUGGAAAUUGUUUACUCAGUUUUGGCCAGUGUAAUUCAAACAUCAUCAUUUUGUUCAGGAAAACAGUUGAGUUUAAAGCCAGGGUUGAGGAUAGAAUGGUCUUUAGUGUUGAGGCUAGAGAAGAGUUUAAAAUCUCAACGGUUCUCCAAAAUAUUGAAAUACUUAACGAACCCCCUGAACCGUUGACUACAGUGUUUCCGUUAAGCAAGUAUUCUCCACAAAUGGUAAAAAAUCAGGAGAGUUUUGAACCCCUGGAUAAUGUGAACGAACUACUGAAAGUUGAACUGAAAGAAGAGAUAGAUAAACUACUUCUAGGUUUCAUAGAUCCAGUAGAUGCAGAGGGGAGGAGUGAUAUUGAAUCAGCGGAGGAAGUAACCCAACUUCUGGAAAACUAUGCUAAAAUGAACUCAAAGAUAGCUGAAAAGGAGACAGUAUUCUCGCUUUAUGAACUGAUCUAUCUACACCCACAGGAUGAACAGUCUCAAACGAAGAAUCGAAAACAUUUUCAAGUUAAUUUGAUGACUCGAGAAGAUUUUCAGGAAUUUAGCCAAAAAGAAAAUUCAAUAAAAAUAGCUAAGCUCCAUAACUCAGCACUAUGUAAAGUACAUAAAAAUGUUUCAAAUUCACAGUUUUCCAGUUUUAGUCCACUUAAGGCCUGGAGGUUGGGAGUACAGAUGGUUAACAUGAACCUCAGACCAACUAGAUACCCAGAGAAUAUGGAACUACACAGGGCAAUGUUUAAAAGGAACGGGAACUGUGGAUAUGUUCCUAAAUCUGGGAACCUUCUUACGAAACUGGUAUCAAACUCAGUUCUGUUGAAAUGUACAAUCCUAGAGGGAAGCAAACUUUGGGGCCAAAAACAAUGGAAGGAUACAGUUCAUACAGUUAGUGUCUGUGCCUGGGUAGUUGCAGAAUCAGGAAGAGAAGGAAAAACAACGCCAGUGAUCGCUACCAGAGGAAAUGGAUUAAGGAUUUUUCGUACUAGAGGUUUCACAUAGCAGUGGGCAUAGUAAUAUGAAGGUUAUUGGGAAGUUUGUAGCUCCUGUUGUGUCUCUAAGAUCUGGUAUCAGAAGUGUAAACCUAGAAAAUCCAAGCUUCCAGCAUGAAAUACCCUUUGCCAGUAUCCUGGUGCACCUGGAGAUGCUC
This 1705-nucleotide unclassified non-coding RNA is filed under the name Eurytemora carolleeae. Its description in RNAcentral is "1-phosphatidylinositol 4,5-bisphosphate phosphodiesterase delta-4". The record is from RNAcentral. Lineage: Eukaryota; Metazoa; Arthropoda; Copepoda; Calanoida; Temoridae.